RNAcentral lists this Y RNA (98 nucleotides) under Carlito syrichta (Philippine tarsier). RNAcentral describes it as "Y RNA (ENSTSYG00000029789.1)". It matches the Rfam family "Y RNA". From Rfam's summary of the family: Y RNAs are components of the Ro ribonucleoprotein particle (Ro RNP), in association with Ro60 and La proteins. The Y RNAs and Ro60 and La proteins are well conserved, but the function of the Ro RNP is not known. In humans the RNA component can be one of four small RNAs -- hY1, hY3, hY4 and hY5. The record is from Rfam by way of RNAcentral. Lineage: Eukaryota; Metazoa; Chordata; Mammalia; Primates; Tarsiidae.
GGCUGGUCUGAGUGCAGUGGUGUUUACAACUAAUUGUUCACAGCCAAGUACAGAUUUGUUUCCUCUCCACUCCCAGUGCUUUUCUUCACUAGCCUUUU